This 358-nucleotide ribosomal RNA is filed under the name uncultured bacterium. RNAcentral describes it as "bacterial SSU rRNA". It matches the Rfam family "Bacterial small subunit ribosomal RNA", at positions 29 to 416 of the family's 1533-position model. The record is from RNAcentral.
AACGAACGCUGGCGGCAGGCCUAACACAUGCAAGUCGAACGCUCCGCAAGGGGAGUGGCGCACGGGUGAGUAACACGUGGGAACCUACCUUCUGGUACGGAACAACCAAGGGAAACUUUGGCUAAGACCGUAUACGACCUCCGGGUGAAAGAUUGAUCGCCGGAAGAGGGGCCCGCGUCCGAUUAGGUAGUUGGUGAGGUAACGGCUCACCAAGCCUUCGAUCGGCAGCUGGUCUGAGAGGAUGACCAGCCACACUGGGACUGAGACACGGCCCAGACUCCUACGGGAGGCAGCAGUGGGGAAUAUUGGACAAUGGGCGCAAGCCUGAUCCAGCCAUGCCGCGUGAGUGAUGAAGGCC